Melitaea cinxia (Glanville fritillary) is the source of this 549-nucleotide long non-coding RNA. RefSeq lists it as uncharacterized. The transcript is spliced from 3 exons. NCBI's taxonomy places the organism in Eukaryota, Metazoa, Arthropoda, Insecta, Lepidoptera, Nymphalidae. The record is from RefSeq and is a predicted model, not a curated record.
GACUGCUACGAGCUGCGUGGCCGACCUGUCACAUCAGGCUAAGAACCAACAGAACUUAACUAAGCGCGUUUCCUGAUGGCGGUUCGCAAGACGUGAGUAGCAUACGGCGCACAAGAUAAUCUGCUGGGGGAGCUGCAUUAAGCUCGCUUCAGCAGACUACGUGUGCCUGCGUGGUGAUCACUGCCAAAAGUCAUUCGAGCCUAAAUUAAGGACAUAAGGAUAAUUCAACUUAAUUAAGCGCAAAAUUGAUUCGUAAUAACAGGAAAACGUUAUCUUUGUAGUUAAUUUAAUAUAACACUGUACAAUGUAAACUUUAUUAACAAUAAUUUAAUAAACUCUAAGCUGUUAAUUUUUCACUAAACCGUGAAGUGUUCUUAUGUAAACAUGAAUCGAAUAAAUAUUUUUAUUACAUUUGUUUAUAUAAUACCUAUAAAUUUCGGUCAGGGAAUAACACCAUUUUCACCACCAAUAGUGAGUAGUGAAUGCAUGAACCUGGGGUUAUGUGAAACGGUUGAAAAUUACCCGAUAGAUUUAGCAAGGAAACUGAUU